RNAcentral lists this long non-coding RNA (4561 nucleotides) under Sus scrofa (pig). RNAcentral's name for it is "lncRNA (ENSSSCG00000057153.1)". The record is from RNAcentral. Lineage: Eukaryota; Metazoa; Chordata; Mammalia; Artiodactyla; Suidae.
AAAUCGAUAGAUUUUCCAUAGACAAGUAAUGGGAAAGAGGAGUGAAAAGAGAAGCCUUGAUAAUCACCAAGUACUGUCUGUUACAAAGCCCAUUAUUUGCAUUAUGAAAUUCAUUGGAUUUAAGUGGCAUAUUCAGGGCUAAAAUCCAGAGUUUUGGUCUCCUAAAUAAAAGUGUAUUCCCUGGGAUCAUUUCUCAAAUAUCAGUAUCAGAAUUGGCUAUUUUUGUCUGAUUGGAGCUUUGGUAAACCCAUUUAACUUUUAAAGACACUGUCUAAACUGGUGGUGGUGAUAGUUCUUUAUGUUGCAGCAUAUCAAAAGCAGUUGUUUCUCUUUCAUUGUACAUACUUUUUAUACACUUUGGGAUUCCUGAUGAAAUAGAAGUAUACUUAUGAAUAUUCUCAAAUCUAGCCACUGUUGGAUUUAUAAGGUAAAUGACAGCGAUAUCUUAUUUUAAGCAUAGCAAAACCUUUUUCUGUCCUUCUUACUGGUGUCAGUCAUACAAUGAAAGAUUGUGUGCUAUCUCUUCGGACCUUACGUAUUGAUAGUUUGCAAUUAUGACAACUCUGAAAGAAAGUAGGUGUUUUCUUUGUGAACUGCUUUUCUGACUCAGAAGCAAAUGUAAUCACUAGGAAAAAAUAUAACCUUGACCUUCUUUCAAAAUAUGUAUUUGUAAGGUAAGUAGUUUCAUAUGGUAUGAUAGGGUAAGUGAGUAACUGCCCUUCAUAGUGAGACACAGUCUUAAUAAUUCAAGCUGUUGGUACUUCAGGGAAAGAACACCCACCACUAAGCUGCUCUGCAGACCCCUCUUGAACCAGAGCAGAGAUUUACAGGACCAGCGCUGGUGAUACCAGCUUCCUAGCGAGCACAGAUUUCUCACUGUUUCCCAAGGGCUGCAAUCCACUGUGUCUGUGGGAAAUUGAGUACAAGUAUACAAUGCAGAAAUUCCUUUCUCCUCUGUCAGCAAAGAUUGCAAACUAUGAAAAGCCACAGAAGCUGAGCCAUGAGGGCAUCCUUGGGUGCCCACAGGUUUAGAUAGCCAGUAAACUCACUGAUGAGGAGUUCUCUAUCACUGGAAGAGUUCAAAUAUAUAAUAACAUGGAUGGAUGUCUUAGAAGAGAAGCAAGCAUUGCACAAAUGGCCUUAGAAAAUCUCUCUAGCAUUCCUUCCAUGCCUGACAUUUUUUAAUCAGUGUUUUAUGCUACAUGUUUUCAAUGUUAUGUAAGGGAAACACAUAUCACUAGCAAAAAUGCAUAGAAAUACAGCAAAAGUACCUAAAGCCUUUUAUUGCAUAAAAUUAGUGGUUAAUGUGAAUUUGUAGAAUUAUGUUUAUAAGAAUUCAAUAUGUAAUUUUUAUGAUCAUAAAAUAUUAACAGUAUGGAAAACUAAAUUUAUAGAAAUCUUUUUUAUAUUGCUUUCUCUUUAUUGUUUUGAAGUUAGAUGCUCGUAGUAAGAUGAAUGGUGGUCACCAGAAGAUUUCAAUGUUCUAAUCUCUGGAAAUUGUGAAUAUCUUAUAUUACCUGUGUAGCCAAAACACGGUCUCUGUACGCUGGCACCCGUUAAGUCUCGGAAACAGAGUUUUGGGAGAAGCAGAAUGAACAGCUUUAUUGUUACUGCUUUACCAGACAAAGCAGGCUAACGCCUCAAAACUGUGUCCUCUCUUGAGAGAGGAUAAUAAUUUUUUUAAUAGGUUUAGCUUAGAAAAAGCAGGGGUCUUGGUAAGGAUUAGGGUGCCUGCAUUCUUCUCCGUUUAUAGAUCAUUUCAAAGUCAUGAGGCUGGAGUCAGAAGGUCUGGUGACUUUGAGUAAUUGUACCUUGACCUUCUGCCCACAGUGAAGAUUGCUCACAAAAGGAAGGAGGUGUUAGGGAGUGUUCCAGUUACAAAGGAAAAUACUAGGUGCAAUAUAACUCUAACUAGAAAGUAACCAUUAGUUAAAGAAAGCAAUUAAACAAGGGAGAAAUCAUUUGUGAAAAGCUGGUAGAGUAAAUUUGUGGGCCAAGGCAGGGCAUAACAUCAUGGAGACUGUUUUAACUAGUUUCUAGCUGUAAGGGUAUUUCCUAAUCAUGAACUCUUGGGUCAGCCUUUUGAGACUGAGGGCAGGCCUGUGUUUUACUUCAAAACACAAUGACUCAGGGGCUUCUAUAUGGUUUCACCUGCAAAAGGGAAUUAAGGUAGCAGAUGAAAUUAAGAUUGAUAAUCAGGUAACCUUGAGAUGAAGAGAUUAUCCUGGAUUAUUUGGGUGGUACCAUGUAAUCACUUUGGGGGUUCUUAAAUAUGGAAUAGGCAGGCAAGAGAGUGAUGCAAUGUGAGAAAGUCUCCAACAGCUGUUGUUGGCUUUGAAGAUGAAAUAGGGCAACAAGCUAAAGAAGGUGAAGCAGCCACCAGAAGCUGGGAAAUCAAGAAAACAAAUCUCUUCUAGAGCCUUCACAAAGGAAUUCAGUGUUGCCAAUAUUUGUUUUUAGUUCAGUGAGACCAAAUUGCUGACUUUCCCAGGGACUUCUAGAACCAUGAGAUAAUUGAUUUCUGGUGGGUUAAGCCAUUAAGUUUGUGUUACUUUGUAACAGAAAUUGGAAAUGAGGCACUGCUAAAUAAAAACAACCUGUUGUAUCUUUGGUUGUCUUUUUGGUUGCAGAUAAAAUACAGUUCAAACUAACAUGGGUGGAACCUCAGAAAGAGCAAGGGCUCUUGGGCCUCAGGAAUGACUGGAAUCAUGGAUUCGAACACCACUACCGUGUUGUUCUCUCCGUCUCUGGUCUCUACUCUCUCACUGCUCUGGGUGUUCACGAUCUCAGGUAGCCUUCUCAACACCUAGAAAAGUGGUCACGGGUACAUGCCAGGCAUAAAUAGCUUCAACUCCAAAUAGAAUUUCCAACUGAAAGGAAAAAAAAAAAAUCCCAGAGGAGAGCCCAAUGAGCCUCUAUGGUCCCUUAUCCAGUAAUCUGGUAAAGUAAAUGGGAGUCAUAAUUUAUCAAGGCCUCCAACAGAAGAACAGGGAUAGAGUGGGGUGGUUACCUAAAUGUUUGUAACAACAAGGGGAAAUGUUUAUAACAACAAAGGGAAAUGGUGCAUGUAGGUAAAAAGUGAAUCUAUAACACAGGGUUUCAUGUAUCCUCAAUAUACUGAACAGAAAACCAGAUCAAUGCUGCCAUCCAAAUUGCAGCAAUGGUGGAAACAAGUGGUUAUAUAAACUGCUAGGAAAUAAAAAAUAUAUAUGUUAGUUCCAGACAUCCUAAUUGUCUUCAAAAAUUGAUUUAAGCGUUGGAGGAAAUGGAGGUAAUUGGAAAGUCAGGUUUUAACAUUUCGAGUUUUAGGCUAUUAUAGGUUUUGUGUUUUAAAGUGCUGCUUGUAAUGAGUAGUUUUGGGGAAACAUUAGGUUACCUGGGUUUAAUGCCAUCUGAUACAGAAAUGAUUGCAAAGCAGCAAACGUACUUGGAGAGGCUAAUGUGUUCCAUUUCAUUUAUUUACCAAAAUGAAUUUCAUUAGAGUUAUAUUUGGUAACCUUCACUUGUUAUUUUUUAUUGUGUGAACUGUUUCCAUGAUUGGGGUCUUCUAAGAAGAAUAGACUUUUACAUUUGAAAGCUUUGUUUUUCAAGACCUUAUUUUGAAGUGAUAAUCCCCCCACUUGGCAGCUGUUCUACUUAUCUGUCAAAUAGCCCCUAGGGUGUUAUGCCUUUUCGGUAUUUGAAGGUUUAUCUUGAAGAUAGGUACAGAAAGACAGUCUUUCUUAGUAGAUUUCUGAGGUUUCUUUGUAAGGUUCUUUGGCAAUUCAUUCUUAACUUUGAACCACAAAGAGAAUUAUAGAAAUCCCAUGUACAACAGUGGUUAUUUACAUAAAACUUUCUAUAGAAUGAUGAUUUUGUUAGCACCAUUAUAAAAACAUGAUAAAUUGCAUUUACCUCUGCAGAAUUCUGAAAAUACUUACUAUUCCAGAUAUUAAAAAAAAACUCCAUAGAAAUUUUAAAUGUGUUUUACAUGGAAUUAUCCUUGAAGCAAAUGUCACAUGUUUCAGCACAUUUUUUGACCAAUAAGGAUAUAUUCACUGUGUUCAUUUUCAGAAAUAUAUUUGAUAUUUAUAAUACUAUAUUUAAAGUUUGACUGAUAAGUUUAUAUUAGCCUUCCUAAAUCCAUAUAAUGUUAGUUUUUACUUUGGUGAUUUGUUGUAAAAUUAAUAGUUUUUAAAAGUAAAACCAGUAUCAACCUGAAAAAACUUAGUGUAUUUUCUAAUAAUCACCACAAACUCAAUAAUAUAAUCGCACUGUAAGAGCCUUAAUAGGUCUUGGAUUUUUUUUGAAGACAGUAUAUAUAUUUUAAUAUCAAUGUAUUUAAUUUAAAUUUCAGAGCUUUUCAAUGAAUUUAAAAACUUAAGUUGAUACCUCUGUAGUAAGAGCAAAUGAAGAAAUGAAUGUGCUUUCUUUGUUAAAAUUGUGAGAGAAUAUAUAUUUUCUAUAGACACAUAUAUUAUUUAGUGCCAUUUUUAUGGACACAUAGAAGCAAUUUGCUCAGAAUCAAAGCCUCUCUUUCAUUGAUAUGUCAAUUUGGUACACUAUCCAUAAAGAAGUAAGU